Molecule: ribosomal RNA, 833 nt
Filed under: uncultured Fidelibacterota bacterium
Lineage: Bacteria; Pseudomonadati; Fidelibacterota
Description: SSU rRNA
Rfam family: Bacterial small subunit ribosomal RNA
Source: RNAcentral
GGCGGCGUGCUUAACACAUGCAAGUCAAGGAGAACGGAUUCUUCGGGAUACUAGUAAACUGGCGAACGGGUGAGUAACACGUAGGUAAUCUACCCUGGAGAUUGGGAUAACCCCGGGAAACCGGAGCUAAUACUGAAUAAUGCAGCGGAUCCUUCGGGAUAUGUUGUUAAAGCGGGCUUUUGCUCGCACUUUAGGAUGAGCCUGCGUCCGAUUAGCUUGUUGGUGGGGUAAUGGCCUACCAAGGCGAUGAUCGGUAGCUGGUCUGAGAGGAUGAUCAGCCACACUGGGAUUGAGAUACGGCCCAGACUCCUACGGGAGGCAGCAGUGGGGAAUUUUGCGCAAUGGGCGAAAGCCUGACGCAGCAACGCCGCGUGAUCGAUGAAGCUUUUCGGAGUGUAAAGAUCUGUCGUGAGGGAAGAAUAACUUGGAUGCAAAUAGUUUUCAAGUCUGACGGUACCUCAUAAGAAAGCACCGGCUAACUUCGUGCCAGCAGCCGCGGUAAUACGAGGGGUGCUAGCGUUGUCCGGAAUCAUUGGGCGUAAAGGGUCCGUAGGUGUCUUUGCAAGUCGUUUGUUACAUCCACCGGCUUAACCGGUGGCCUGCAAUCGAAACUGCAAGGAUAGAGUUCGAGAGAGGAAAGUGGAAUUCCUGGUGUAGCGGUGACAUGCGUAGAUAUCAGGAGGAACACCAAUGGCGAAGGCAGCUUUCUGGCUCGAUACUGACACUGAGGGACGAAAGCGUGGGUAGCGAACAGGAUUAGAUACCCUGGUAGUCCACGCCGUAAACGAUGAGUACUUGAUGUCGGAGGAUUCGACCCCUUCGGUAUCGUAGCU